Ribosomal RNA from Alligator mississippiensis (American alligator), 348 nucleotides. It matches the Rfam family "Eukaryotic large subunit ribosomal RNA", at positions 964 to 1383 of the family's 3401-position model. The record is from Rfam. NCBI's taxonomy places the organism in Eukaryota, Metazoa, Chordata, Crocodylia, Alligatoridae.
AAGUUCCUCAGGCAGAAGAAGGAAUUCUAAGACGCCGACAUGCAGGGCAAGUGCCCUCAACCAUUUAACUUGGGCUGAAACAAUCUCAACUUAUUCUCAAACUUUAGAUGGGUAAGAAGCCCGGCUCGCUGGCAUGGAGCCGGGCAUGGAAUGCAAGUGCUUAGUGGGCCACUUUUGGUAAGCAAAACUGGUGCUGUGGGAUGAACCGAACGCUGGGUUAAGGCGCCCGAUGCCGACGCUCAUCUAUGAAACUAUCAGAUAAAAGAGGUAUGCUGCUAGUGCUGAUCUUGCAAGGCCUAGAGUUUAGCCCAUGCACAUCUACUACUCUGCCCUUUAGAGGGGUCAGAA